GGCUGGUCCGAUGGCAGUGGGUUAUCAGAACUUAUUAACAUUAGUGUCACUAAAGUUGGUAUACCACCCCCCCCACUGCUAAAUUUGACUGGCUUAAA
Molecule: unclassified non-coding RNA, 98 nt
Organism: Cavia porcellus (domestic guinea pig)
Lineage: Eukaryota; Metazoa; Chordata; Mammalia; Rodentia; Caviidae
Rfam family: Y RNA
About the family: Y RNAs are components of the Ro ribonucleoprotein particle (Ro RNP), in association with Ro60 and La proteins. The Y RNAs and Ro60 and La proteins are well conserved, but the function of the Ro RNP is not known.
Source: Ensembl